This is a long non-coding RNA of Oncorhynchus tshawytscha (Chinook salmon), 1258 nucleotides long. The record is from Ensembl. NCBI's taxonomy places the organism in Eukaryota, Metazoa, Chordata, Actinopteri, Salmoniformes, Salmonidae.
AAAAGUUGUACAAUACCCCAAAAAACUACUUAAGUAGUACUUUAAAGUAUUUUUACUUAAGUACUUUACACCACUGGAGACAGAUUUGACAAUGUUAUGAGAAUGCAGGUGAAAGAGACUAUUCUUAAAGUCUUAGAAGACAUGUAUUCCUGGAUGUCAAUACACAGAGUGCCAUGUUCUAUGCUGUCAGCAAUGCCACAAGCAAUACUCAAUUCAACGUAUUUUUGGACAACCGUGGAGACUAAGGCCUACAUUCAAUCUGUAAAAGGCUGCUGUGGUCAGAGGUCCUAAAUUCCUGAGAAGACCUCAUGGACACACAGUUAUAGAGAGUCGUUUUUCAUGGAGGCAAAGGAAAUCCUUCCACCUCACAGAACUUGAGAUACGAACCAAUUUCAUGUUCCGGAGAAAGUGUAAAAGAUCGGUGAAGAAUCAAGCUACGAACUGGUCCGUUUGUCACAACUUGGGAAGCUCAUGGGAGACGGUGUGACCACAUUACCAUAACGCUGUUUAUAUAAUAGCCACAGAGAUAAGGUUUACAUCUAAUUGUAGUAUUAGAUGAAUGAGUGAGUAUGAUACUGUUUACACAAUUUUACAAUAUGAUUUUGGACUGUUUAAUGAAGGAAAACUCAAAAAAGGGAAUUGGAUUUGAACUAAAUCAGAGGACCGCCCCUGAGGCCAGUUAAGGUCAGACAUCCUGGGACUGCCCUUUUCUGCCAUUCCGAAUAAAACCCAACUUUGAGAAAUCAUCACCAGACCAUGUUUUUCUCCAUUAGGAGGGGGACAAAGGUUGCAGACCAUUGCUGAAUCUUUUAACCAUACUACGUGGUUAAACUCUUAGACUAUCGAUACCAACAGAAUGAGAACAAGUCUUUGAUAUUAAUUACUAGUCUGCAGCUAGGAAUUUGGUAUCAUUGAACGCGAAGAACGACAACCGCCGAAACAACCAUUCUGUAACGAAUGUCACUUUGAACUAUCCCCUCUAACCAAGACAGAGAGAGGGAGAGAGACGGACAAUUCUACGAAAGACACAAACUUUUCACCAGCGAUCAAGACGAAACACUGAGCGUAAAUAUAUACAUUGAUUGCAAUUGUUCCCGAAUGAGUGAGCGUUCAUGUGUAAAGGAUUAGCAUUUUAAUUGUUAUAAUUAUCACUCUGUCGUGACUUCUUAGUUGACCCCCACUUUCCCUUUUGUCUAACAAGCCGCCAUGCCGGUUCAGCCCACUAGGGCACAUUUUCCUAUCAUUUCAUGUAACCACA